UACGUAGGGGGCGAGCGUUGUCCGGAAUUAUUGGGCGUAAAGCGCGCGCAGGCGGCAGCUUAAGUCUCAUGUUUAAACCCGGGGCUCAACCUCGGGUCGCAUGGGAAACUGGGUUGCUUGAGUGCAGGAGAGGAAAGCGGAAUUCCACGUGUAGCGGUGAAAUGCGUAGAGAUGUGGAGGAACACCAGUGGCGAAGGCGGCUUUCUGGUCUGUAACUGACGCUGAGGCGCGAAAGCGUGGGGAGCAAACAGG
RNAcentral lists this ribosomal RNA (252 nucleotides) under uncultured bacterium. RNAcentral describes it as "partial 16S ribosomal RNA". It matches the Rfam family "Bacterial small subunit ribosomal RNA", at positions 524 to 776 of the family's 1533-position model. The record is from RNAcentral.